AAUAUUAGAGGCUAAGACCUACGGAUUUUUGACCAAGAAAUGGUCUCCACCAGAAAUCCAAGAAUGUGAUCUAUGGCGAGGAAACAUAUGUGGGGUGAGGUGUAUGAGCCUCUGGUCGAUGAUCAAUGGCCACACAACCCCCAUUUUUGUCGAAAAUAGCCAUGAACGACCAUUUUCAAUAAUACCGAAGGCUAACACCUACGGAUUUUUGACCAAGAAAUGGUCUCCACCAGAAAUCCAAGAAUGUGAUCUAUGGCAAGGAAACAUAUGUGGGGUGAGGUGUACGAGCCUCUGGUCGAUGAUCAAUGGCCACAGAACCCCCAUUUUGCCGAAAAUAGCCAUGAACGACCAUUUUCAAUAAUACCGAAGGCUAACACCUACGGAUUUUUGACCAAGAAAUGGUCUCCACCAGAAAUCCAAGAAUGUGAUCUAUGGCAAGGAAACAUAUGUGGGGUGAGGUGUACGAGCCUCUGGUCGAUGAUCAAUGGCCACAGAACCCCCAUUUUGCCGAAAAUAGCCAUGAACGACCAUUUUCAAUAAUACCGAAGGCUAACACGUACGAGUUUUUGACCAAGAAAUGGUCUCCACCAGAAAUCCAAGAAUGUGAUCUAUGGCAAGGAAACAUAUGUGGGGUGAGGUGUAUGAGCCUCUGGUCGAUGAUCAAUGGCCACACAACCCCCAUUUUUGUCGAAAAUAGCCAUGAACGACCAUUUUCAAUAAUAUCGAAGGCUAACACCUACGGUUUUUUGACCAAGAAAUGGUCUCCACCAGAAAUCCAAGAAUGUGAUCUACAACAAGGAAACAUAUGUGGGGUGAGGUGUAUGAGCCUCUGGUCGACGAUCAAUGGCCACACAACCCCCAUUUUGCCGAAAAUAGCCAUGAAUGACCAUUUUCAAUAAUACUGAAGGCUAACACGUACGCGUUUUUAACCAAGAAAUGGUUUCCACCAGAAAUCCAAGAAUGUAAUCUAUGGCAAGGAAACAUAUGUGGGGUGAGGUUUAUGAGCCUCUAGUCGAUGAUAAAUGGCCACACAACCCCCAUUUUUUAUGAAAAUAGCCAUGAGCGACCUUGAAAAUAGCCAUGAGCGACCAUUUUCAAUAAUACUAGAGGCUAACACCUACGGAUUUUAGACCAAGAAAUGGUCUCCACCAGAAAUCCAAGAAUGUGAUCUAUGGCAAGGAAACAAAUGUGGGGUGAGGUGUAUGAGCGUCUGGUCGAUGAUCAAUGGCCACACAACCCCCAUUUUUGUCGAAAAUAGCCAUGAACGACCAUUUUCAAUAAUACCGAAGGCUAACACCUACGGAUUUUUGACCAAGAAAUGGUCUCCACCAGAAAUCCAAGAAUGUGAUCUAUGGCAAGGAAACAUAUGUGGGGUGAGGUGUAUGAGCCUCUAGUCGAUGAUCAAUGGCCACACAACCCCCAUUUUUGUCGAAAAUAGCCAUGAAUGACCAUUUUCAAAAUACCAAGGCUAACACGUAUGGAUUUUUGACCAAGAAAUGGUCUCCACCAGGAAUCCAAGAAUGUGAUCUAUGGCAAGGAAACAUAUGUGGGGUGAGGUGUAUGAUCCUCUGGUCGGUGAUCAAUGGCCACACAACCCCCAUUUUGCCGAAAAUAGCCAUGAACGACCAUUUUCAAUAAUACCGAAGGCUAACACGUACGAGUUUUUAACCAAGAAAUGGUCUCCACCAGAAAUCCAAGAAUGUGAUCUAUGGCAAGGAAACAUAUGUGGGGUGCGGUUUAUGAGCCUCUAGGUGAUGAUAAAUGGCCACACAACCCCCAUUUUUUAUGAAAAUAGCCAUGAGCGACCAUUUUCAAUAAUACUAGAGGCUAAGACCUACGGAUUUUAGACCAAGAAAUGGUCUCCACCAGAAAUCCAAGAAUGUGAUCUAUGGCAAGGAAACAUAUGUGGGGUGAGGUGUAUGAGCAUCUGGUCGAUGAUCAAUGGCCACACACCCCCAUUUUUGUCGAAAAUAGCCAUGAACGACCAUUUUCAAUAAUACCGAAGGCUAACACCUACGGAUUUUUGACCAAGAAAUGGUCUCCACCAGAAAUCCAAGAAUGUGAUCUAUGGCAAGGAAACAUAUGUGGGGUGAGGUGUAUGAGCCUCUAGUCGAUGAUCAAUGGCCACACAACCCCCAUUUUUGUCGAAAAUAGCCAUGAACGACCAUUUUCAAUAAUACCGAAGGCUAACACCUACGGAUUUUUGACCAAGAAAUGGUCUCCACCAGAAAUCCAAGAAUGUGAUCUAUGGCAAGGAAACAUAUGUGGGGUGAGGUGUAUGAGCCUCUGGUUGAUGAUCAAUGGCCACACAACCCCCAUUUUGCCGAAAAUAGCCAUGAAUGACCAUUUUCAAUAAUACCGAAGGCUAACACGUACGAGUUUUUAACCAAGAAAUGGUUUCCACCAGAAAUCCAAGAAUGUAAUCUAUGGCAAGGAAACAUAUGUGGGGUGAGGUUUAUGAGCCUCUAGUCGAUGAUAAAUGGCCACACAACCCCCAUUUUUUAUGAAAAUAGCCAUGAGCGACCUUGAAAAUAGCCAUGAGCGACCAUUUUCAAUAAUACUAGAGGCUAACACCUACGGAUUUUAGACCAAGAAAUGGUCUCCACCAGAAAUCCAAGAAUGUGAUCUAUGGCAAGGAAACAUAUGUGGGGUGAGGUGUAUGAGCGUCUGGUCGAUGAUCAAUGGCCACACAACCCCCAUUUUUGUCGAAAAUAGCCAUGAACGACCAUUUUCAAUAAUACCGAAGGCUAACACCUACGGAUUUUUGACCAAGAAAUGGUCUCCACCAGAAAUCCAAGAAUGUGAUCUAUGGCAAGGAAACAUAUGUGGGGUGAGGUGUAUGAGCCUCUGUCGAUGAUCAAUGGCCACACAACCCCCAUUUUUGUCGAAAAUAGCCAUGAAUGACCAUUUUCAAAAAUACCAAAGGCUAACACGUACGGAUUUUUGACCAAGAAAUGGUCUCCACCAGAAAUCCAAGAAUGUGAUCUAUGGCAAGGAAACAUAUGUGGGGUGAGGUGUACGAGCCUCUGGUCGAUGAUCAAUGGCCACACAACCCCCAUUUUGCCGAAAAUAGCCAUGAAUGACCAUUUUCAAUAAUACCGAAGGCUAACACGUACGAGUUUUUAACCAAGAAAUGGUCUCCACCAGAAAUCCAAGAAUGUGAUCUAUGGCAAGGAAACAUAUGUGGGGUGAGGUUUAUGAGCCUCUAGUCGAUGAUAAAUGGCCACACAACCCCCAUUUUUUAUGAAAAUAGCCAUGAGCGACCUUGAAAAUAGCCAUGAGCGACCAUUUUCAAUAAUACUAGAGGCUAACACCUACGGAUUUUAGACCAAGAAAUGGUCUCCACCAGAAAUCCAAGAAUGUGAUCUAUGGCAAGGAAACAUAUGUGGGGUGAGGUGUAUGAGCGUCUGGUCGAUGAUCAAUGGCCACACAACCCCCAUUUUUGUCGAAAAUAGCCAUGAACGACCAUUUUCAAUAAUACCGAAGGCUAACACCUACGGAUUUUUGACCAAGAAAUGGUCUCCACCAGAAAUCCAAGAAUGUGAUCUAUGGCAAGGAAACAUAUGUGGGGUGAGGUGUAUGAGCCUCUGGUCGAUGAUCAAUGGCCACACAACCCCAUUUUUGUCGAAAAUAGCCAUGAACGACCAUUUUCAAUAAUACGAAGGCUAACACCUACGGAUUUUUGACCAAGAAAUGGUCUCCACCAGAAAUCCAAGAAUGUGAUCUAUGGCAAGGAAACAUAUGUGGGUGAGGUGUAUGAGCCUCUGGUCGAUGAUCAAUGGCCACACAACCCCCAUUUUUGUCGAAAAUAGCCAUGAAUGACCAUUUUCAAUAAUACCGAAGGCUAACACUACGGAUUUUUGACCAAGAAAUGGUCUCCACCAGAAAUCCAAGAAUGUGAUCUAUGGCAAGGAAACAUAUGUGGGGUGAGGUGUACGAGCCUCUGGUCGAUGAUCAAUGGCCACAGAACCCCCAUUUUGCCGAAAA
RNAcentral lists this long non-coding RNA (3987 nucleotides) under Zea mays. Its description in RNAcentral is "long non-coding RNA (ZMAY_LNC005782)". Lineage: Eukaryota; Viridiplantae; Streptophyta; Magnoliopsida; Poales; Poaceae. The record is from RNAcentral.